AAGAAGCAAAGUCACUUGCUUGAAAAACACAAGUUUUUGGAAAUGAAAACAAAAAAUGGCGAUAAAUUCAUGUAGACAAAUGUUCUGCUGCCACCUAGGUAUCAAUAAUGACUCUAACUUACAGUUGGAAUGGGGUGAGUGGAAUAUUUUGUUUCGUUCACGACGCAGCCAACAGCUGCUCGUCUCUAACCUGCGAUUAUCAGAAUCCGUGCCAUUUCCAUUAGUCCAUUGCAGGCCAAAUCAAGAGAUUCCAAGCUGGUCAUGUUCGGUAAGUACACCUGUGGUUAAAGAAAUGCCGGAUCAUCAAAACAAUCCACUUCAGGUGGAUUGUUUAGUUUUGCACCCCAAUCUAUUUUAGCAGCAAACAACAGGUAAGUGGUCAUCAUCAUAAUCAGGAACAUAAAUCGUCUAUAAGACAAUAUACUUGGUCUUUUCCCCCUAUAAAAUCUAUUAAAAAAUAAAUAAAUUUUUUUUAUACCGUGUCUGGUAUUUCGACACGUUUGUCCGGAUCACGAAUUUUCCUUUUCCGGCAGUAUGUGAACUGAUUAGACUGAUUUUACAAAAAGAAACUCGUGUUAUCAAACGAAAUAACUCCGGAACACCUUGUAAACCGGUUUAUAUUUCAAGGCGGUUGUAAACUGGUGCUAAUUCACACGUGUAUAACCAUUAGAAACAUUUAUCGCAUAGUAAUCGAGAUAUUGGCAUGAUUUCUCGCUUUCCAAGUCAGUGAAAACCACCAUCAAUAAAUGGCACCUGCCAAUAAUAGCUUUUGUGUGACUGAACAACAUAUGCCCAUGCAGGUGAUGUUUAAUAGCCAGUCAUGAAUAUUAAUACACCUGUCCAACAGUAGAAAUAAAGGCAAAAUUAAAAGGUUAAAGAGAUAAAUACUUGGGAGAUGAAGUUGUUUUGUAUUUGAACAGAAAAGGCCAGCUGCUUCAUCUGGCUUUCGUUAUCAAUAUAGCUAAAUACGGUUUUAAAGUGCAUUUUUUAUUUGGUCACUGACGCUGUAGGCUAAUAAGUAACGAGUUAUCUACGUAUGGGUUUUUUUUUCUGUAUCGAAAAAUCUAUAGGCUACACAUAAAACAAACACGGGAAAGUUGUUGGGUUCUGUGACUGCCCUACGUUUUGUUUUCAGGCCUGUAGGCAUGAAAAAGAAAAUGUUCACACUCGUUUUUUGUCCUAAAUUUUUCGUGUUAUCUAUUUGUUGUUCACUUUCUCAGUUAUUGUAUAUGUCGACCGCAAGAAACACAGCGUUUUAUAGCAUCCCUAGCCUAAAGUGACCUGUUGCAUUUCACCGAACGUCCUCACAGUUGGAGAAGGUAGGCUGUGAUUUUACCACGACAAACGAAAACUUUGUCACUAAACAUUAAGAAAAGGAAAUGCACACAAAUGAAAGUA
Daphnia magna is the source of this 1398-nucleotide long non-coding RNA. RefSeq lists it as uncharacterized. The transcript is spliced from 2 exons. The record is from RefSeq and is a predicted model, not a curated record. Lineage: Eukaryota; Metazoa; Arthropoda; Branchiopoda; Diplostraca; Daphniidae.